CGCUGUGCUGCCUGUGAUGUGCCGCAAAACACAUAAUAUGGCGCAUUACCGGAGUGGUGGAGCCGAGAACCGGAGGAGGGGAGUCUGUGUGGAAGAGCAGUCUAGGAAGCAGAAGGGGGCAUACACAAGGUCUCAACAUUGUGACGAAAGUGAAAGGGUCUGAAGUUUUUCCUAAUUCAUAAAAGUCUCCAGAGGGGAAGGCGAGGUGCCAGCUAGCUUCCCUAUGUUCCAUAGCUUCCUUCUAGUGUUUUUCCACUGGGAUAGCUUCUAGGCUUGGGGGCUCUGGCCAUGCUUUUU
Molecule: long non-coding RNA, 297 nt
Organism: Hyla sarda
Lineage: Eukaryota; Metazoa; Chordata; Amphibia; Anura; Hylidae
Exons: 3
Source: RefSeq, a predicted model, not a curated record